GGGCUGUUAGCUCAACCGGCAGAGCAGCGGACUUUUAAUCCGCGGGUUCUGGGUUCGAAUCCCAGGCGGCCCACC
RNAcentral lists this transfer RNA (75 nucleotides) under Plantactinospora endophytica. RNAcentral's name for it is "tRNA-Lys". It matches the Rfam family "tRNA". Rfam says of the family: Transfer RNA (tRNA) molecules are approximately 80 nucleotides in length. Their secondary structure includes four short double-helical elements and three loops (D, anti-codon, and T loops). Lineage: Bacteria; Bacillati; Actinomycetota; Actinomycetes; Micromonosporales; Micromonosporaceae. The record is from RNAcentral.